GCUAACGCGUUAAGUCGACCGCCUGGGGAGUACGGCCGCAAGGUUAAAACUCAAAUGAAUUGACGGGGGCCCGCACAAGCGGUGGAGCAUGUGGUUUAAUUCGAUGCAACGCGAAGAACCUUACCUGGUCUUGACAUCCACGGAAGUUUUCAGAGAUGAGAAUGUGCCUUCGGGAACCGUGAGACAGGUGCUGCAUGGCUGUCGUCAGCUCGUGUUGUGAAAUGUUGGGUUAAGUCCCGCAACGAGCGCAACCCUUAUCCUUUGUUGCCAGCGGUCCGGCCGGGAACUCAAAGGAGACUGCCAGUGAUAAACUGGAGGAAGGUGGGGAUGACGUCAAGUCAUCAUGGCCCUUACGACCAGGGCUACACACGUGCUACAAUGGCGCAUACAAAGAGAAGCGACCUCGCGAGAGCAAGCGGACCUCAUAAAGUGCGUCGUAGUCCGGAUUGGAGUCUGCAACUCGACUCCAUGAAGUCGGAAUCGCUAGUAAUCGUGGAUCAGAAUGCCACGGUGAAUACGUUCCCGGGCCUUGUACACACCGCCCGUC
RNAcentral lists this ribosomal RNA (547 nucleotides) under uncultured bacterium. RNAcentral's name for it is "bacterial SSU rRNA". It matches the Rfam family "Bacterial small subunit ribosomal RNA", at positions 851 to 1398 of the family's 1533-position model. The record is from RNAcentral.